GGGAGUCCCUCCCUCUAAAAGCACUCUGUGUGGGGAACAUGAGAGCCAGACCAAAGCUCAGAGGAACCCACCUGGACCUCCACUCAGCUCUGUGUCCUAUGAAAGUAACUCAGUCAAAGAUGUCAUUAAGAAAUUUGAGCAAAAACAGUCGGCUGAGAAAAGGAUCCAUCAGAGACUCAAACCUGGACCUCCACCCAGCUCUGUGUCCUUACAGAGUGACCGAUCUAAAGGCGUUGUUCCUGACUUUAAAUCAGGCGUGUGUCGUCCUGCAGAGAGGUAAUUGUUGUGUCCAAAUUCAUGGGCUGC
Oreochromis niloticus (Nile tilapia) is the source of this 306-nucleotide long non-coding RNA. RefSeq lists it as uncharacterized. Lineage: Eukaryota; Metazoa; Chordata; Actinopteri; Cichliformes; Cichlidae. The transcript is spliced from 3 exons. The record is from RefSeq and is a predicted model, not a curated record.